Molecule: ribosomal RNA, 435 nt
Filed under: uncultured bacterium
Lineage: Bacteria
Description: partial 16S ribosomal RNA
Rfam family: Bacterial small subunit ribosomal RNA
Source: RNAcentral
GAUGAACGCUGGCGGUAUGCUUAACACAUGCAAGUCGAACGGACUCUUCGGAGUUAGUGGCGGACGGGGGAGUAACGCGUGAGAAUCUGGCUUUGGGUUCGGGACAACCACUGGAAACGGUGGCUAAUACCGGAUGUGCCGAGAGGUAAAAGAGAAAUUGCCUGAAGAUGAGCUCGCGUCUGAUUAGCUAGUUGGUGAGGUAAAGGCGCACCGAGGCAGCGAUCAGUAGCGGCUCUGAGAGGAUGACCAGCCACACGGGGACUGAGACACGGCAGAGACUCCUACGGGAGGCAGCAGUGGGGAAUUGUCCGCAAGGGGCGAACGCCUGACGGAGCAAUACCGCGUGAGGGAAGAAGGUUCUUGGGUUGUAAACCUCUUUUCUUAGAGAAGAACAAAAUGACGGUACCUAAGGAAUCAGCAUCGGCUAACUCCGUG